CAGUCGCCGCGGGAAUACGAAGGGUGCAAGCGUUAAUCGGAAUUACUGGGCGUAAAGCGUGCGUAGGCGGUGAGUUAAGUCUGCUGUGAAAUCCCCGGGCUCAACCUGGGAAUGGCAGUGGAUACUGGCUCGCUAGAGUGUGUCAGAGGAUGGUGGAAUUCCCGGUGUAGCGGUGAAAUGCGUAGAGAUCGGGAGGAACAUCUGUGGCGAAGGCGACUAUCUGGGCCAACACUGACACUGAGACACGAAAGCGUGGGGAGCAAACAGGAUUAGAUACCCGCGUAGUCCCUGUCUCUUAUAC
RNAcentral lists this ribosomal RNA (301 nucleotides) under uncultured bacterium. RNAcentral describes it as "partial 16S ribosomal RNA". It matches the Rfam family "Bacterial small subunit ribosomal RNA", at positions 509 to 807 of the family's 1533-position model. The record is from RNAcentral.